GUUGGGUAGGGGAGCGUUCUGUAAGCCUGUGAAGGUGGCCUGUGAGGGUUGCUGGAGGUAUCAGAAGUGCGAAUGCUGACAUAAGUAACGAUAAAGCGGGUGAAAAGCCCGCUCGCCGGAAGACCAAGGGUUCCUGUCCAACGUUAAUCGGGGCAGGGUGAGUCGACCCCUAAGGCGAGGCCGAAAGGCGUAGUCGAUGGGAAACGGGUUAAUAUUCCCGUACUUGGUGUUACUGCGAAGGGGGGACGGAGAAGGCUAUGUUGGCCGGGCGACGGUUGUCCCGGUUUAAGCGUGUAGGUGUGUGUUCCAGGUAAAUCCGGUUCACUUUAACACUGAGGCGUGACGACGAGGCACUACGGUGCUGAAGCAACAAAUGCCCUGCUUCCAGGAAAAGCCUCUAAGCAUCAGGUAACAUCAAAUCGUACCCCAAACCGACACAGGUGGUCAGGUAGAGAAUACCAAGGCGCUUGAGAGAACUCGGGUGAAGGAACUAGGCAAAAUGGUGCCGUAACUUCGGGAGAAGGCACGCUGACACGUAGGUGAAGUGAUUUACUCACGGAGCUGAAGUCAGUCGAAGAUACCAGCUGGCUGCAACUGUUUAUUAAAAACACAGCACUGUGCAAACACGAAAGUGGACGUAUACGGUGUGACGCCUGCCCGGUGCCGGAAGGUUAAUUGAUGGGGUCAGCGCAAGCGAAGCUCCUGAUCGAAGCCCCGGUAAACGGCGGCCGUAACUAUAACGGUCCUAAGGUAGCGAAAUUCCUUGUCGGGUAAGUUCCGACCUGCACGAAUGGCGUAAUGAUGGCCAGGCUGUCUCCACCCGAGACUCAGUGAAAUUGAACUCGCUGUGAAGAUGCAGUGUACCCGCGGCAAGACGGAAAGACCCCGUGAACCUUUACUAUAGCUUGACACUGAACAUUGAGCCUUGAUGUGUAGGAUAGGUGGGAGGCUUUGAAGCGUGGACGCCAGUCUGCGUGGAGCCGACCUUGAAAUACCACCCUUUAAUGUUUGAUGUUCUAACGUGGACCCGUAAUCCGGGUUGCGGACAGUGUCUGGUGGGUAGUUUGACUGGGGCGGUCUCCUCCUAAAGAGUAACGGAGGAGCACGAAGGUUGGCUAAUCCUGGUCGGACAUCAGGAGGUUAGUGCAAUGGCAUAAGCCAGCUUGACUGCGAGCGUGACGGCGCGAGCAGGUGCGAAAGCAGGUCAUAGUGAUCCGGUGGUUCUGAAUGGAAGGGCCAUCGCUCAACGGAUAAAAGGUACUCCGGGGAUAACAGGCUGAUACCGCCCAAGAGUUCAUAUCGACGGCGGUGUUUGGCACCUCGAUGUCGGCUCAUCACAUCCUGGGGCUGAAGUAGGUCCCAAGGGUAUGGCUGUUCGCCAUUUAAAGUGGUACGCGAGCUGGGUUUAGAACGUCGUGAGACAGUUCGGUCCCUAUCUGCCGUGGGCGCUGGAGAACUGAGGGGGGCUGCUCCUAGUACGAGAGGACCGGAGUGGACGCAUCACUGGUGUUCGGGUUGUCAUGCCAAUGGCACUGCCCGGUAGCUAAAUGCGGAAGAGAUAAGUGCUGAAAGCAUCUAAGCACGAAACUUGCCCCGAGAUGAGUUCUCCCUGAGACUUAAAGUCUCCUGAAGGAACGUUGAAGACGACGACGUUGAUAGGCCGGGUGUGUAAGCGCAGCGAUGCGUUGAGCUAACCGGUACUAAUGAACCGUGAGGCUUAACCUUACAACGCCGAAG
Molecule: ribosomal RNA, 1737 nt
Filed under: Salmonella enterica subsp. enterica serovar Inverness
Lineage: Bacteria; Pseudomonadati; Pseudomonadota; Gammaproteobacteria; Enterobacterales; Enterobacteriaceae
Description: bacterial LSU rRNA
Rfam family: Bacterial large subunit ribosomal RNA
Source: RNAcentral